RNAcentral lists this ribosomal RNA (1445 nucleotides) under uncultured Bordetella sp. RNAcentral's name for it is "partial 16S-23S ribosomal RNA intergenic spacer". It matches the Rfam family "Bacterial small subunit ribosomal RNA". The record is from RNAcentral. Lineage: Bacteria; Pseudomonadati; Pseudomonadota; Betaproteobacteria; Burkholderiales; Alcaligenaceae.
AGUUCGAUUCUGGCUCAGAUUGAACGCUGGCGGGAUGCUUUACAGAGCGUAAGUCGAACGGCAGCACGGACUUGGUCUGGUGGCGAGUGGCGAACGGAGUAAUACCGGAAUCGUGCCAGAAGGGGGAUAACUACGCGAAAGCGUAGCUAAUACCGCAUACGCCCUUCGGGGAAAGCGGGACCUUCGGGCCUCGCACUAUUAGAGCGGCCGAUACCGAUUAGUUGCGGGGUAACGGCCGCACCAAGGCGACGAUCCGUAGCUGGUUUGAGAGGACGACCAGCCACACGGGGACUGGAGAUGAUGGCCUGGGACCACGAGGCAGCAGUGGGACCGGACAAUGGGGAAACCCUGAUCCAGCCAUCCCGCGUGUGCGAUGAAGGCCUUCGGGUUGUAAAGCACUUUUGGCGGUAAAGAAACGGCACGGGAUAAUACCCCGCAACUGGAUGGUACCUGCAGAAUAAGCACCGGCUAACUACGUGCCAGCAGCCGCGGUAAUACGUAGGGUAAAGGCACCUGACUAUUGGGCGUAGUGCAGGCGGUUCGGAAAGAAAGAUGUGAAAUCCCAGAGCUUAACUUGGAAUCCGCAUUAACUUACCGAGCUAGAGUGUCAGAGGGAGGUGGAAUUCGCGUGUAGCAGUGAAAUGCGUAGAUAAGCGUGAGGAACACCGAUGGCGAAGGCAGCCUCCUGAUAACACUGACGCUCAUGCACGAAAGCGUGGGGAGCAAACAGGAUUAGAUACUCCGGUAGUCCAAUGCCCUAAACGAUGUCAACUAGCUGUUGGGGCCUUCGGGCUCUCGGUAGCAGCUAACGCGUGAAGUUGACCGCCUGGGGAGUACGGUCGCAAGAUUAAAACUCAAAGGAAUUGAUUUGGACCCGCACAAGCGGUGGAUGAUGUGGAUUAAUUCGAUGCAACGCGAAAACCUACCUGUAACCCUUGACAUGUCUGGAAUCCCGAAGAGAUUUGGGAGUGCUCGCAAGAGAACCGGAACACAGGUGCUGCAUGGCUGUCGUCAGCUCGUGUCGUGAGAUGUUGGGUUAAGUCCCGCAACGAGCGCAACCCUUGUCAUUAGUUGCUACGAGCGGGCACUCUAACGACUGCCGGUGACAAAACCGAGGAAGGUGGGGAUGACGUCAAGUCCUCAUGGCCCUUAUGGGUAGGGCUUCACAUCGUCAUAACAACGUCGGGACAGAGGGUCGCCAACCCGCGAGGGGGAGCCAAUCCCAGAAACCCGAUCGUAGGUCCGAUCGCAGUCUGCAACUCGACUGCGUGAAGUCGGAAUCGCUAGUAACUGCGGAUCAGCAUGUCGCGUGAACAUGCCCCGGGUCUUGUACACACCGCCCGUCACACCAUGGGAGUGGGUUUUACCAGAAGUAGUUAGCCUAACCGUGUUGAGGCGAUUACCACGGUAGGAUUCAUGACUGGGGUGAAGUCGUAACAAGGUAG